Molecule: unclassified non-coding RNA, 201 nt
Filed under: Paraglomus sp.
Lineage: Eukaryota; Fungi; Glomeromycota; Glomeromycetes; Paraglomerales; Paraglomeraceae
Description: partial internal transcribed spacer 2
Rfam family: 5.8S ribosomal RNA (bases 1-65)
Source: RNAcentral
GUGAAUCAUCGAAUUUUUGAACGCAAAUUGCGCCUUUGUCUAAAGGCAUGUCUGUUUGAGUUCACCAUUUAACAAAUAAUGUUCAGCGUUUUUUUUUGCACACGUGGAUUAUCUUUCCAAAAGUUGUAAGUUUUUGGUGGCGCAUAAUGAACAUCGUUAUAGGGUUUUUCAGUUCGAAUGGAGUAAAAUCUUUACUUGGAU